Molecule: ribosomal RNA, 702 nt
Filed under: uncultured bacterium
Lineage: Bacteria
Description: bacterial SSU rRNA
Rfam family: Bacterial small subunit ribosomal RNA
Source: RNAcentral
AUGCAAGUCGAGCGGAGAAUGCGGAUAUGUUUACAUAGAAGCGUUCUUAGCGGCGGACGGGUGAGUAACACGUGGGUAACCUGCCUCAAAGUGGGGGAUAGCCUUCCGAAAGGAAGAUUAAUACCGCAUAAGCCUACAGUAUCGCAUGGUACAGCAGGAAAAGGAGCAAUCCGCUUUGAGAUGGACCCGCGGCGCAUUAGCUAGUUGGUGAGGUAACGGCUCACCAAGGCGACGAUGCGUAGCCGACCUGAGAAGGUGAUCGGCCACAUUGGAACUGAGACACGGUCCAGACUCCUACGGGAGGCAGCAGUGGGGAAUAUUGCACAAUGGGCGAAAGCCUGAUGCAGCAACGCCGCGUGAGUGAUGAAGGCCUUCGGGUCGUAAAGCUCUUUGAUCAGGGAUGAUAAUGACAGUACCUGAAAAACAAGCCACGGCUAACUACGUGCCAGCAGCCGCGGUAAUACGUAGGUGGCGAGCGUUGUCCGGAAUUACUGGGCGUAAAGGAUGCGUAGGUGGAUAUUUAAGUGGGAUGUGAAAUCCCCGGGCUCAACCCGGGAACUGCAUUCCAAACUGGGUAUCUAGAGUGCAGGAGAGGAAAGCGGAAUUCCUAGUGUAGGAGUGAAAUCCGUAGAUAUUAGGAGGAACACCGGUGGCGAAGGCGGCUACCUGGACCGAUAUUGACGCUGAGACGCGAAAGCGUGG